CUCUCUCUCCCCCCACAGCGAACCCUGGCGCUCUCACCAUCUGGAUCUUGAUGCGCUGUCGCCCCCAACCCCACUCCUUCCUCUGGAUCUCGACGCGCCGCCGCCCCUACCCCACUCCCUCCCACACUGUCCACCGGCGUUCUCACACUCUCACCGCUCGGCCCUCUCAUCCGCCUCCCGUCCCCUUGGCGGCGGCGCCCUCCCCAUCGCUAUCCCCCAACCCCGGCAGCCAGAUCCCGCUCAGGCUCACAUCGGGCUCCUCAUCGUCCUCCUCGACCUGCUCCUCCCGCCCGCGCUCCUCUCCAACUUCCUCCGCGCCGGAGUCCACCACGCCUCCGCGCACAGCCUCCUCGACCAGGCCAGGGGCUUCCACUUCCGCUCCUCCCUCGUCGACCUCCCCGCCGUCUCCGCCGCCCGCUCCCUCCUCAUCCUCUGCGCGUACACGGCAUGCGGGGGCGGCGGCCUGCAGCAUCGGCUCCCUCUUCUACGUCCUCGCCAAGGCCGUCGCGGUCUUUGGCGUGGUCGCCGACGGCGCCGCCAGCCUCGAGCUGCACGGCAAGGGCCAGCUCCUCGCCUUGGCCUACCGGGCCAGCAGCUGGGAGAAGCGCUGGCUGCACGUCGUCUACAGGAUCAACAUCGAAGUAGCGACCUCCAUGGACGACAUCGACGAUGAAGACAAUGACGAGGGGCCUGUAACAAGAAUGAGAGCCCUCUUGUUCACAGGGGCGUUGAUCCGGACGACCGAAUGAAUCCUCCUCCUUUUGGUUUAGCUCUUGAUUGACGCCUUGGGAAGUCCUAGUGCAAAUUUGGUUUGCAUAAUGCUCUGGUCUGGCAAAUGAUUUUAGAUAUGCACUAGUGGUGGAAAUUUAGGCAUUCGUCGGUAGAAAAAGCUGAUCAUUGAUCUGGAGAUACAAAACUGGAGCUUUUGGCAUUUGUUGUUGAUUAAUUCAUGCCAUGAUUACUUGACAGAGGGAAACCAUUGGGCUGAUAAACUUCGACUAGGAGUAGGAAUUAUGAGGAGAAAUUGUUUAAUUUGAACGCAAACAACAGUUAUCGGUUUCAAAAUGCCAUACUUUUAACCGGAAUGAAUUUCUUCUUUGGCUGCUUCUCUGUCAAAUUACUUGCAUAUGCAUUGUUGACCUGUUAAGGAAAAUCAGCUCAAGUGGUUUUUUCUCUGAAAACAAGAAAAAUGAACAUAUGUGUUUAUUAGUUUGUUUGUAGAAGUUCAAUAGAAACAGUUCUAUUGCCUACGACUGUAGUUAUAGUCACUUGUUAGGCUAAUUUCGAGCAGACUGCUUAGUGUUAACCGUGCCAUGCAGAGUUUUGGAAGGGGCUGCUGGUGUUGUAAUUGUUUAGCCUAAUUUAUUGCAUCAUCUUAUCAGGGACAUGAGUAUUCUUUUUUCUUUUAAUUGACAUUAGAUGUAUACACCUUUUAUGGAUAUGUUGUUAAGUCUCAAGGCACAUUCUUUCCUGUACACAGAUGAUUUUGUUGUAGUUUAUUUUAUAUCUGACACAGAGCUGAGCGACUUGUUUGUUUUACAUAUGACGGAGGUGUAAUAGUUUUAUGAUAGUGCUUACUACCUUUUUUAGUUACUUCAAAUAAUACCUUUUUCUGUUAACUGAUUAGCAUAGCCCUUUUGUAAAUAAUACCUUUUUUUGUUAAUUGAUUAGCAUAGCCCUUUUUCUGUUAAUUUAAAUUAACUGAAACAUUUUCAGUUACUUCAAUUAAACAUGCAGUGUAGAGCUACUCAUUUGAUUCAUUUGAAAAUAUGAGUAAUUCUUUUUCAUUAACAGAAACUUCUCAUCUCUUUUCUUCUAUUUUCCUCUCUUCUCUUCUUCUCUUUGCUGCUGUUAAGUUAGGACUUGUUGCUGAUGAUUGCUGUUGUUAAACAUCAUGAUUGCUUAGUUUAGUGUAGGACUUGCUGCUGCUGAUGCUGUCAUAUUCAUAUUGUAUUUUCCAAAGUUGUUGAUCAAAGGAAUGGACUAAAUUAAAGCAUUCCCAGGAAUUGAUGUUGUUGUUAUUGACAUGCUGCUGUUGUCAAACUGCUGUUGUCAUUAACCUGCUGUUGCUGCUGUUGUAGGAGAAGGAGCACGCCGAGGAGAAGGAGCAAGCCGAGGAGAAGGAGCAAGCCCAGGAGAAAAAGAACGAGCAGGAGAAGAAGGCCCUGGAUUGCUGUUGCUGGAGUGUCGAGGAUCUGGGAUCUGUGACGGCCUUGCACCGGCUCCUGCCCGCGGACGUCGCGCGGGCGGCGUGCGUCUGCCGUCUCUGGCGCGCCGUCGUCUCCGACCGCGCCGUGCUGGAGGUCGCCUUCCGCGUGCCCUGGGGCGUUCGCCGCGUCCUCGGUGACCCGGCCACCAAGGCCUUCUGGCGCGCUGCCUCCCUCGCCCGAUUCGCGCUCUCACGCGCCGUCCAUCACGGGGACACCAUCCCCGGCAUCGUGCUCAAGUACUCUGUCCAGCAAAAUCUGGCUCAGGCCCGGAAGGAGCACGAAGCUGCUGUAUUGGUGCUAUAGCAGAGAGAUGGGCCUCCUAGCAAAGCUUGCUGGGGCAUUUUCAAGAUACGGUUGAUGCCGUGAAGAAGUCAGCUCCCCUUGGAUGGUGCAGUGUAGCAAAUCAAUGUCGAUUCAUUCAUUCUUUGGUGCUGGCCUUCAUUCUUCAAAAGUUGAGUGUACAGGAGCUGUAGGAAGAAGAAUCCUGAAAAAAAAAACCACACCCAGAAUGCGUUUUGGCUCACUGGAGCUAGUUAUGUGUAUAUUUAGUUGUAUAUUAUAGCUGAAUACCAGAUUUUUACUAUGUACUUUGCUUGGUUGUUGUAAUAUACUAUCUCAGUUUUGGGUGUACAGGAUUGUAUUGUACUUUGUUUGGCUGUUGUAUGGAAUAUUAUGCCUUAUUGGCUCUUUUUGAAUUAAAUUAUCUAAUUGCAAAAA
Non-coding RNA from Aegilops tauschii subsp. strangulata, 2927 nucleotides. NCBI's taxonomy places the organism in Eukaryota, Viridiplantae, Streptophyta, Magnoliopsida, Poales, Poaceae. The record is from RefSeq and is a predicted model, not a curated record.